RNAcentral lists this ribosomal RNA (442 nucleotides) under uncultured bacterium. Its description in RNAcentral is "partial 16S ribosomal RNA". It matches the Rfam family "Bacterial small subunit ribosomal RNA", at positions 338 to 795 of the family's 1533-position model. The record is from RNAcentral.
CCUACGGGGUGCAGCAGUGAGGAAUAUUGGUCAAUGGACGAGAGUCUGAACCAGCCAAGUAGCGUGAAGGAAGAAGGCUUUCGGGUUGUAAACUUCUUUUGUCAGGGAAGAGUAGAAGACGGUACCUGACGAAUAAGCCACGGCUAACUACGUGCCAGCAGCCGCGGUAAUACGUAGGUGGCAAGCGUUGUCCGGAUUUACUGGGUGUAAAGGGGGUGUAGCCGGGUUGACAAGUCAGAUGUGAAAUCCUGCGGCUUAACCGCAGAACUGCAUUUGAAACUGUUGAUCUUGAGUACUGGAGAGGCAGACGGAAUUCCUGGUGUAGCGGUGAAAUGCGUAGAUAUCAGGAGGAACACCGGUGGCGAAGGCGGCCUGCUGGACUGCAACUGACGUUGAGGCCCGAAAGCGUGGGGAGCAAACAGGAUUAGAUACCCGAGUAGUC